AUUGAACGCUAGCGGGAUGCCUUACACAUGCAAGUCGAACGGCAGCGCGGACUUCGGUCUGGCGGCGAGUGGCGAACGGGUGAGUAAUGUAUCGGAACGUGCCCAGUAGCGGGGGAUAACUACUCGAAAGAGUAGCUAAUACCGCAUACGCCCUACGGGGGAAAGGGGGGGAUCGCAAGACCUCUCACUAUUGGAGCGGCCGAUAUCGGAUUAGCUAGUUGGUGAGGUAAAGGCUCACCAAGGCGACGAUCCGUAGCUGGUUUGAGAGGACGACCAGCCACACUGGGACUGAGACACGGCCCAGACUCCUACGGGAGGCAGCAGUGGGGAAUUUUGGACAAUGGGGGCAACCCUGAUCCGGCCAUUCCGCGUGUGCGAUGAAGGCCUUCGGGUUGUAAAGCACUUUUGGCAGGAAAGAAAUCGCACGGAUUAAUACUCUGUGUGGAUGACGGUACCGGCAUAAGAAGCACCGGCUAACUACGUGCCAGCAGCCGCCGCAG
This 500-nucleotide ribosomal RNA is filed under the name uncultured bacterium. RNAcentral describes it as "partial 16S ribosomal RNA". It matches the Rfam family "Bacterial small subunit ribosomal RNA", at positions 30 to 523 of the family's 1533-position model. The record is from RNAcentral.